UUCCCAGUGGUCUAGUGGUUAGGACUCGGCACUUUCACUCCUGUGGCCCAGGUUCAAUCCCUGGUUGGGGAA
Molecule: non-coding RNA, 72 nt
Organism: Bos taurus (domestic cattle)
Lineage: Eukaryota; Metazoa; Chordata; Mammalia; Artiodactyla; Bovidae
Source: Rfam